CGUGUGGUUCUAUUUUGUUGGUUUCUAGGACCGACCGUAAUGAUUAAUAGGGACAGGUCGGGGGCCAUCAGUAUUCCAAUUGUCAGGAGGUGAAACUCUUUGGAUUUUAUUGGAAGACUAACUACUGCGGAAAGCAUUUGCCAAGUGAUGUUUUCAUUAAUCAGGAACGAAAGUUAGGGGAUCGAAGACGAUCAGAUACCGUUCGUAGUCUUAACCAUAAACUAUGCCGACUAGGGAUCGGACGGUGUUAUUUUUUGACCCGUUCGGCACCUUACGAGAAAUCAAAGUGCUUGGGCUCCAGGGGGAGUAUGGUCGCAAGGCUGAAACUUAAAGUUAUUGACGGAAGGGCACCACCAGGGGUGGAGCCUGCGGCUUAAUUUGACUCAACACGGGAAAACUCACCAGGUCCAGACACAAUGAGGAUUGACAGAUUGAGAGCUCUUUCUUGAUUUUGUGGGUGGUGGUGCAUGGCCGUUCUUAGUUGGUGGAGUGAUUUGUCUGCUUAAUUGCGAUAACGAACGAGACCUUAACCUGCUAAAUAGCCCGUAUUGCUUUGGCAGUACGCUGGCUUCUUAGAGGGACUAUCGGCUCAAGCCGAUGGAAGUUUGAGGCAAUAACAGGUCUGUGAUGCCCUUAGAUGUUCUGGGCCGCACGCCGCGCUACACUGACCGGAGCCAGCGAGUACUUCCUUGUCCGAAAGGUCCGGGUAAUUCUUGUUAAACUCCGUCGUGC
This 732-nucleotide ribosomal RNA is filed under the name uncultured fungus. Its description in RNAcentral is "SSU rRNA". It matches the Rfam family "Eukaryotic small subunit ribosomal RNA", at positions 827 to 1570 of the family's 1831-position model. Lineage: Eukaryota; Fungi. The record is from RNAcentral.